Molecule: long non-coding RNA, 25060 nt
Organism: Loxodonta africana (African savanna elephant)
Lineage: Eukaryota; Metazoa; Chordata; Mammalia; Proboscidea; Elephantidae
Exons: 5
Source: RefSeq, a predicted model, not a curated record
CUCACUCACCAGCAGCUCAGCGCCGCGAGGCCGCCCAAUCCCGCGACUGCGGCGGCCGCUCUGGUUAACAACACUCCCACCCCCUGCGAACCGGAACUUCGAGGGGUAAGACACCUCACUUCCGGCGGCGCGGGGCGCGGCGUGGGUCGUACCAAGUGCUCUCAGCUCUUGUCUGUCCCGUGCACUCUCCAUGGUUCCAGGGGCAAUGGUCUCACUGCAGCUGGUUUUCUUGUGCAUAAGAGAGGGUUUAGCAGAAGAUGCGAGCGGUAAUCGGAGCGGAUCAGGGCAAGCCGGUGGUUCAGGGUCCCCCUAUUUAUUAGUCACAGAUGGUAUCGUCUCCACCUCUCUGAGUGGACAACCUAGCGGAGGACUUUAGCUCUCAUAGGGGCUGGGUGGUUGGUGGCGCACUGUGGGGCCGUACCACUCGGAGGGGGGAGUAUGCAAAGGACAGACUUCACAUGUGUCAGAGAAAGAAAAUGUUUUAGAGCCUCCUUCUAGAGCGAUUCCUAACAGUUUGAUAAACAAGGUGCUUUUCAGGAGAACUGGGUGCAGAAAACAAAAAAUUAUUUCCCCCACGCCCUCCCCCAAGUUGUGUGAGAAUGAGUUGGGUUCCCGUGGCUGCUAUUGAUUGGUCGCAAUAGAGUUACGCGGACCAAUAAGAAAAAGAAAGGAAAAUUGCUGAUUGUUAAGACCUCGACUGGUAACCAAAAGGCCUGUAGUUCGAGUCCACCAGCCCCUUCUUGGGAACCCUGUGGGGGCAGUUCUACUCUGUCUUAUAGGGUCGCUAAGAGUCGGAAUCGACUCCACGGCAACGGGUUUUAUAGGAAGAGAAAAGCAGCUUUGCUCUCCAUGUAUUGUUCAAGGAGCCCUGGUGGCAGCAGUGGCUAAGUGGAAACGUCAGCGGUUUGAACGCUCCAGCCCCUCUGCGGUGAAAGAUAUGGCAAUCUGCUUCUAUAAAGAUAACAGCCUUGGAAACCCCGUGGGGCAGUUUUACUCUGUUCUGUGGAGUCGCUGUGCGUCGGAAUCAACUCGACAGCAACGGGUUCGGUGCCAAUAUCAAGAAGGCAGAUGGAAGGGUUCAACCAGGGUUGGAGCUUUUCAGGGGUGAUGGUUUUAUGGUAACCAAGACUCUCAUUAUUUGCUCUGGGGGAAACCAGUCAUCAUGUUAUGAAGACAUGCAAUCAGCCCCAUGGACAGGACCAUGUGUCAAGGAACUGAGGCUUCCAGCCAACAACCAUGUGAGUGAGCCACAUGGGAAGAGGAUCCUCCAGCCCAAGUUAAGCCUUCAGAUGACUAGUCUUGGCCAACAUCUUGACUGCAAGCCUCAUGAGAGAUUAUGAAUCAGAACCACCCAGCUAAGCUGCUCCUGAAUUCCUGACCUACAGAAGCUAUGAGAUAAUAAUUUUUUUUUUUUAAACCACAAAGUUUUGGUGUAAUUUUUAUGCUGCGACAGGUGUCUUUGAUAGAGAGAGGAGCAAUCAGAGGGUAGGCUUCCACCUGGUUGUUCAGGGACCCAGGCUCCUUCCAUCUUGUGUCUCUGCCACCCCCAAGGAGCUCUUGGAGUUCUCUGGAGAUCUGCAUUUUGCUGGGAGUCAGGGGAGUAGAGAGUGAAGCCAAUUGUAAGGGAGGGAGGUUUUCAAGGGCCAUGCCUGGUAAUGAAUAAUAAAAAGUAAUGGCAAAUGAGAUAAGGAAGUGAUUUUAAGAGGAAAUAAAAAAGAUGACUGAAGAGUAGGGGGGAGGAGGGGAGAAGGGAAUAAGGAUCAAUGCGAGGAUCCUUUAGCCUGAAAGUUUCGUGACUUAGUUAUCUAGUGCUGCUAUAACAGAAAUACCACAAGUGGGUGGCUUUAACAAACAGAAAUUUAUUUUCUCACAGUUUAGGAGGCUAAAAGUUUGAAUCCAGGGUGCUGGCUCUAGGGGAAGUCUUUCUGUUUCUUUUGGCUCUCAAGAAAAGUCCUUGUCUCUUCUGAGCUUCUGCUUCUGGGCGAUCAUCUUGUGGCUUGGCAUCUAUCUUCCCCCAUCUCUGCGUGCUUCCUUGCAUGUUUAAUCUCUUAUAUGUCUCAAAAGAGAUUGACUUAAAACACAACCCUACACUGUCUCAUUAACACAACAAAGAAAACCCAUUCCCAAAUGGGAUUAUAACCACAGGUAUAAAACCAAACCAAACCCGUUGCCGUGGAGUCAAUUCCGACUCAUAGCAACCCCACAGGCCAGAGUAGAACCGUCCCAUCCAGGUUUACAAGGAGCAGCUGGUGGAUUCAAACUGCUAACGUUUGACUUAGCAGCCAAGCUCUUAACCACUGGGCCACCAGGGCUCCUCCACAGGUAUAAGGGUUAGGAUUUUCAACACAUAUUUUUGGGGGACACAAUUCAAUCCAUAACCAAAACAAAAACAAAAAAACCAAACCCAUUGCCAUCAAGUCAAUUCUGACUCAUAGUGACCCUAUAGGACAGAGUAGACCUGCUCCCAUAGGGUUUCCAAAGAGCAGCUGGUGGAUUUGAACUGCCCACCUUAUAGUUAGCAGCUGAAAGCUUAACCACUGUGCCACCAGGACACCACUCAAUCCAUAAUAGCUAGGGUAUAUUUAAGGAAACAUAACAGAAGCCAGGUGACUGGGGCUUGGAGAGCGAGGCUAAGAGCCGCAGAAAAUGAGUCUGAAGAGGCGGUCGGAUCUCAAAGGUUUUAGGGUUCAUAUUAGGGGCAGUGGGAAGGCACUGAGAGGUUUAAGCAGUGGAGCAGAUGUGCACUGGAUGAAAUCACCGUGGCCACAGUCCAGAGAUGGACAGAGGAGGAGGGGAGCAGGAUCAGAGCAGGAAGUGGUCAGGCAGCUGACUGGCAGCCAGGGGAGAGAUAAUGGCGGCCUGCUCUCGGCUGGGCAGGGUAGAUAGAGAUGCUGAGGAUGCAGAGGUCCUCAAAGACACCACUAUCCCAAAUUUUAUUAUUUUAAAACUCAUUAUUUUGCUCAUAAACCCAGGUGGUUAUUUUCUUAUGAACAUGUUUACAAAAAAUGUUCAAGCUAAGGAUGGAAAGGAUUUGCCUCCUCAGAGCCACCCUGACUGCACUCCAGAUAAACUCCCAAUAUUUAGAGCCCAUAUCAACCCCUGGCUCAGAUGACUUUUUACCCACCGCUGCCCCGCUGCUGUUCUCAGCCCUACGGGUAUGAUAUGCACCGUGGGAUAUUUCACUGGGCACAGCAAGAUGCACGCUCUGUGGUAAGAUGAUGCAAGAUUUCACCUCUGAUCUGUUAAAGGUGUUUUCCAAUUGCUGUUAAGUCCAUUCUGAUUCAUGGUGACCCUAUGUGUUGCAGAGUAGAACUACACUCCAUAGGGCUUUCAUGGCUGUGACCUUUCGGAAGCAGAUCUCUAGAGCGUUCUUCUGAGGCACCUCUGGGUGGAUUCGAACUGCCAACCUUGCAGUUAGUAGCCAGGCACUUAACUGUUUUCACCACCCAGGGACUCCUUGUUAAAGGUAUAAACUACAUGAAUUAAAUUUUCUAAUAAUAUUAAACUAACCUUACAUUCUUUGAGUAAAUCCAAGUACGUCAUGAUGUGUUAUCUUUUCUAUAUGUUACUAGAUUCAGUUUGCUGAUAAUUGUUUUAGGAUUUUUGCAUCUCUGUUUAUGAGCUAUAUUUGCCUGUAAUUUUUCUUUCUUACGCAGUCUUCAUUAGGUUUGGGAUCUAGUAUGCUACCCUUGGAAACUCUGUGGGGCAGUUCUAAUCUGUCCUAUAGGGUCGCGAUGAGUCGGAGUCGACUCGACGGCAGUGGGUUUGGUUUUUUUUGGUUAUACUACCCUUAAGACAGCUGUGGGGGAUGGUCCUUUUUGUUAUACACUGGAAGCAUUUGUACAUGAUAGAAUUAUUUGUUCUUUGAAUGUUUGGUAAAUCUUACAGGUGGAGCCAUAUAGUUGUGAAAUGUUCUUUGUGGUUAAGAUUUUUUUCUGCUGAUUCAAUUUCUUUAAUGUUAUAGGGCCAAUCAGGUGUUCUAUUUCUACUUGAGCCAGUUUUUUUUUUUUUUUUUGAGUCAGUAAUAUUUUUGUAUGAGGAUUUGUCCAUUUUUCACAUGAAUUUUCAAAAGUUGUCAUAAAAUUGAUCAUAAUAUCCUCAUUUAAAAAAUUAACAUCUGUAGUUAUAUUUCCUUUUGCAUUCCUGUGAUAAUUAGUGUGCCUUCCCUUUUAAACAAUUAUUAUGGAUUAAUCAUACCAGAAGUUUGUCAAUUUUUUUGGUCUUUUCAAAAAGCAAAAUUUGACUUUUCUGAUUCUUUCCAUUACAUGUUUUCUAUUUUAUUAAUUUCCACUCUUAACUUUAUUAUUUUAUUCCUUCUACUUUCAUUAGGUAUUAUUUUGCUGCUCUUUUUAAAUGUUACAUAUUUUGAAAUAAAAGAUUAACAGACUUACAGAAAGUUGCAAAAAUGAUGCAGAGAGUUGAGUAUACCCUUUACUCAACUUCUCUUAAUGCUAAUUUCUUACGCAACCCUGGGACAGUUAUUGAAACUAGGAAAUUAACAUCCGUGUAGUAUUUUUAACUAAUCUAAAGGCCUUGUUUUAAUUUUUCCAACAGUGAUUUUUUUUUUUUUUUUCUGGUCGAGGGUCCAAUCCAGGAUUCCAAAUUGCAUUUAAUUGCUGUAUUAGUUAUCUACUGUUGGGUAACAAUUACCCCAAAACUUAGCAACUUUAAACAGCAAACACUUAUUAUCUCAAACUUUCUCUGGUUCAGGAAUUUGGGGUAGCUGAGUCGUUCUCAUCCAGGGUCUCUGAUGACGUUAUAAUCAUGAUGUCACCCAGGGCUGCUGUCAUCUGAAGACUUGACUGGGACUGUAGGAUCUGCUUUCAAGACAGUUCACUCACAUAGCUGUUAGCAGAAGUUCUCAGUUUCCCACCAUGGGGCCUCUCCAUGGUAAUGCUUGAGUGGCCUCAUGGCAUGACAGCUGGUUUCUCCCAGGGACAGUGAAACCUGCAAAGUCUUUUAUGAUGUCAUUUCAGAAGUCACACUCUGUCAUUUCUACAAUGCCCUAUGGGUACACAGGUCAACCCUAUUCCGUGUGGAAGGGGGACUACACAAGAGCAUGAAUACCAGAAUGUGGGUGUCAUUGAGGAGCCAUCUUGGAGGCCGGCUACUACAGUUCUCAUGGCUCCUCAGUGUCUUCCAACCUGGGACAAAUUUCUCUUUCAUGAACUGGACACUUUCAAAGAGUACUGGCGAGUUAUUUUGUAGAUGUCUCUCCAUAUGGAUUUGUCUGAUGUUGCAUAAUGAUUAGUUUGCAUUUAUUCAUUUUUGGCAAGAAGACUGUAGAAGUCACGCUGUGCUCUCUCAGUGCAUCGCAUUGGAUGGUGCUGAUGUCAGUAUGUAUUAUUACUGUGUUAUUAACUUAGAUCACUUAGCUAAGGCAGUAUCUGCCAAGUUUCUCCACUGUAAAGUUACUCUUUUUUCCCUUCGUAAUUGUAAAUCUUGUGGGGAGCUACUUUGACCUAUGCAAACAACUUGCUUCUCAUCAUACUUUUAUCCACUAAUUUUAACAUCCUUCAAUGAUUCAUGCCUGCAAUGAUUAUUAUUGUAGUGUUUGCCUAAUGAUGAUUUUCUAUUUCCAUCAUUCCUCCUACUUUUAUUUACCAGAUUUCUUCUGCAAGGAAGAGCUGUCUUCUCAACCCCCCGCCCCAAUUUACUUAUUUAUCUGCUUAUACCAGUAUGGACUUGUAGAUGUUUAUUUUAUUCUAAGAGUAAUAAUCCAUUACUAUCAUUAUUUUGUUCCUCAAAUUGUCCCAGCUUUGGCCCUUGGGAGCUCCUUCCAGUUGGUGCUUGUCUUUUGAUAAGACUUUGAUGGUAAUUUGAUAUGUACCUCUUGUUUCCGAAACCCUUGUGGCAUAGUGGUUAAGAGCUAUGGCUGCUAACCAAAAGGUCAGCAGUUCAAAUCCACAAGGUGCUCCUUGGAAACCCUAUGGGGCAGUUCUGCUCUCUCCUGUAGGGUCUCUAUGAGUUGGGAUCCCCUCAGCAGCAGUGGGUAGUGGUGGUGGUGACUCCUUAUUUCUUUCUUAGCUUCUUUUAAAUUUUAUCUAUUUUGUUGUUGUUGAGAAUAUACACAGCAAAACAUAUUCCAAUUCAAUUGUCUCUACAUGUACAAUUUAGUGACAUUGUUUACAUUCUUUGAGUUGUGCAACCAUUCUCACUCUCCUUUUCUGAGUUGUUCCUCCUUCAUUGGGGCCCUGGUGGUGAAGUCGUUAAGAGCUCGGCUGCUAACCAAAAGAUCAGCAGUUUCAAUCCACCAGCCACUCCUUGGAAACCUAUGGGGCAGUUCUAGUCUGUCCUGUAGGGUUGGUGUGAAUCCAACUCAGUGGCCAUGGGUUUUCCUCCCUCAUUAAUAUAAACCCACUAUCCUCUAAGGUUCCUAUCUAACCUUUCAAGUUGCAACAUGUCCCCCUUAUUUUUUUUUUUCUGGUUCAGCUGAUAUUUUUUUUCGUAGACUUUCUUGAUGAAGAAAGCAGUGCAUAGAUUUACAUUCCAGUGGAAGUUCCCUAUCUUCUUCUUCUUUUUUUUUUUAUUGUGCUUUAGAGCAAAUUAGUUUCCCAGCCCCUUAUUUUUUGAGCACUUCUUUCUUUCUGUCACCACAUGAUGUUCCAGACUCAUCUUGUAUCAUCUCAGUCCCAAGCCUGAAAUGCACCAUUUCUCCAAAGAUCCCUGGUUCCUUUUAUUGGAGAAUGGAAUUUAAAAACCAAGAUUUAAGUUUUGAGUGUGCCCAUUGCUACUGGAGCGUAAUCGCCUCUAGAUCAUCUCAGUGGUAGAGGAAGAAAUAUAUGCAUGUAUAUACACACAGACACACACACACAUCUGUUUAUUCCUGUAUCUGUCCAUCUGUAUAUACACUAAAACCGUGAGUUCAUAGUUAUACCUCUGAUUCCAGUCCAGCACCACAGAGUUCAUUCUAAUUUUCCUCCUUUCCUUAUUUGUGACUGCUUUCUCUGACAGUGAGAAACCUGGCUUUCAUUAGCCACAACAUACUGUAUUUUUAUGCAAAUAACACACGCAUUAUAAGUUUUUUUGCCAACCUCCCCCCCACCCUGGCUAUUUUCAUAAGUGCACUAUGCUGCAGGUUAUAUGGAGGGGGGUGGAUUACUUAUGUGGUUGUGUUAUUUGUGAAAACAUACAGUAGUAAUGAUUUGUUCAAUAUAAGUACAUACAUGAAAUAGUUUCAGAAUUUCUACCCAUAUCUCCUUGAGAAACAAAUUUACUAAUUAGCGUAUAAUACUUGUGUUCAGUGUUUACUAAUUAAAGUAGUUUUAUAUUUUGCCUUAAAGUACAUAGUCAAAAUGCCAUUUUCCAAAGUUACUUAAGUUAGUUAUUUUCUACCCCACUCCCUCCAGUGUGCUUUGUUAGUUUUAAUACAGUUUGGUUCAUGUAUUACUAUUUUCCUUUCUGGGCCAUCCCACACACCCUCCUAGCUGAAUUAAUUAAUUGAUUUUGGGGGGUAGGUGAAACAUUACCUUGGGUCUAAGAGUCAGAGGUGUACAAAAAGGUGGACUCAGAGAAGUGUCACUCUUCCCUCACCUCUUCAGUCCCAGCCCCAUCCCAUGAUUCUUUCUGCCUCAUUCUUACCCACCCCAUAUGGGUAAUAAACGCCAUUUGUUCUGGUUUAUCCUUCCUGGAUUUCUUUUUGCACAAAUGAGCAGAUAAUAUGUAUAUUUUCUUAAAACCUCUUUCCUCUUACGUGAAGGAUAGCAUAACCAGAGCUGCUUUCUUGCACCUAACAACAUAUCCUGGAAACAACUCUCUGUCGGUUAAUAGAGCUCUUCCUCAUUUUUCAGAAUGCUGCAUCGCAUCGUACUUCAUUGAGUGGGUGCACUUGAGGGUAUUCAUCAAUCUGCUAGCAUGCGUAGUAUGUAAAGGCUCUCUCAAUAAUUUGCAAUUAUUAAUACUUUGUGAGUAAUCUUGUGCCUACGUAUUUUUAUACCAUUGGGAGUGUAUCUUUAUGGUAAAUUCCUGUAAGUGGGAUUGCUUGGUCAAAAGCAACAUCUAAGUAUUUCCGAUACAUGCUAAGUAUUUCCAAAUUUCCCUACAGAAGGGUUGUGCCAGUUCCCCUGGCAAUAUAGGAGAUCUGUUUUCCCACGGUCUCGCUGACAGAAUGCAUUGUCAGCCUCUUUAAUUUUUGCCAAUUUGAUGGGUGAAGGAAGGGAUUUCAGGGUUUUAGUCUGCAUUUCUUUAGUUGCAAAUGAGUUUGAACAUUUGUUCAUACGUUUGAGGGCCAUUUUAAUAUCUUUUUUUUCUGUUCAUAUCUUUUCCCCUUUUUUUUAAAUCAAGGCUUUGGUCCUUCGUCCCUCAAUUUGUAAUAGUUUUUCCUAUAUCAAUGAUAACAUGUUGUAAAUAUUUUCUUCUAGUUUGCCAGGUGUCUUUGUGGCAUCUAGGGUGUUUUUGUCAUGCAACUUUUUUUUUUUUUUCAUUUUUAGUGAGUCAAAUGUAUUAAUCUUUUCUUUUUAUUGUCUCUGGAUUUUGAAUUACAGUUAGAAAGCCUUGCCUACUCAAAGGUUAAAGAGGAAUUCACCCAUAUUUUCUUCUAGUACUUGUUUGGUGGUGUGGAUUGAAUGUGUCCCCCGAAAAUAUGUGUUACAAAUCCUAACCUCUAUGCCUGUGGUUAUAACCCCAUUUGGGAAUGGGUGGUCUCAUUAUGUUAAUGAGACCAGAUAAGUGUAGGGUGUAUCUUGAGUCACUCUCUUUUGAGAUAUAAGAGAUUAAACAAGCAAGCCAGAGAGCAGAGAUGGGGGAAGAGAGAUGCCAAGCCACAUGAAGAUUGCCCAGGAGCAGAAGCUCACAAGAGUCAAGGACCUUCCUCCAGACCUGACAGAGAGAGAGAAAGCCUUCCCCUACAACCGGUGCCCUGAAUUUGGACUUCUAGCCUCCUAAACUGUGAGAAAAUACAUUUCUGUUCAUUAAAACCACCCACUUGUGGUAUUUCUGUUAUAGCAGCACUAGGUAACUAAGACAUAUGGUUUCAUAUUUUACAUUUACAUCCCUGAUCCAAUUAGAGUUAUUCUCAUGUCUGGUUUUUUAGUGUGAGGUAUGGGUCUAAUUUUAUCUUUGUCCAAAUCUUUGCAUAGUUGUCCUAGCACUAUUUAUUAAGUCUGUCUUUGGACCCUUGAGUUGAAAUGCCUACUGUGCUUUUUCGUAUGCUAAAUUCUCAUGUGUGCUAGAGUCUAUUAUUAGGCUUCUAGUCCAUUCCACUGGUUUAUUUGUCUACUCAUGCACCAGCACUGUGUUAAUUAUAAAAGGUUUUAUAGUGUGUUUUAGGAGUCCCUAGGUGGUGCAAAAGGAGCUCUGGUGGCACAGUGAUUAAGUGCCCUGCUGCUAACCAAUAGGUUGUUGGUUCAAACUCACAAUUGGCUCCAUGGGAGAAAGACUUGGUGAUCUGCUUCCGUAAAGAUCACAGUCUAGGAAAUACUAUGGGGCACCUCUACUCUGUCCUAUAGGGUCACUAUGAGUCAGAACAGCACACAACAGCAACAACAGGUGGUGCAAAAUAACUGCAAAAAUAGGCUCAAAUAUACCAUCAAUUAUGAGGAUGGUGCACGACUGGGCAAUUUUUCAUUGUGUUAUACAUAAGGUCACCAUGAGUUCACACUGACUAGACAGCAACUAACAACAGCAAAGGUGGUAUAAACAGUUAACUUGCUCAGCUGCUCACUGAAAGGUUGGAGGUGCCUUGAAAGAGAGGCUUGGUAACCUACUUCCCAAAAAUUAGCCACUGAAAACCCUAUGGACCAUGCGUCGGAAUCAGCUUGGUGGCAGCUGGUUGAGUUGAUAAAAAACCAAAAAACAACGCAACCACAAAAAAACCAAACCCACUGCCAUCGAGUCAAUUCUGACUCAUAAUGACCCCAUAGGACAGAGCAGAACUGCCCCAUAGGGUUUGUAAGGCUGUAAAUCUUCACGGAAGCAGACUGCCACAUUUUUCUCCCACAGAGUGCCUGGUGGGUUUGAACCGCCGAGUUUCGGUUCACAACUGAGCACUUUAACCACUGCGCUACCAUGGCUCCUUUAAUAUUUCACACAGUUUUUGAGCACUGGGAAUCUGGGAGUGGCGUAGUUGGGUAUUCUGGCUCAGGAUCUCUCGUGAGGUUGCAUUCAAGCCAUUAGCCAGGACUGCAGUCGUCUCGACGUUCAGCUGAGGCUGAAGCCUGAAGGAUCAGCUUUAAGCUCAGUAAUGUGGUUGUGGACAGGCCUCAGUUCCUCACUGGCUGGAGAUGUCAGUUCCUCCCAUAUGGCCUUCUCCAUGGGACUCCUCACAACAUGGCUUCCCUCAGAGUGAAUGAUCUAAGAGAGAGCCCAUGAUGGAACCUUUUUUAACCUAGGAGUGACAUAUAUCACUUUUUCUGUUUUGGUCAUACAGACCAACCUUGGUAUAAUGUGGAAGGGGACUAUACAAGGAAGAGAAUACCAGGACGAAGGGAUCAUUAGGGGCCAUCUUGGAGGCUGGCUCUCAAAUCUUUCUUCUUAGUUCCGUUCCUCUUCCCCCACCCAGUAUCUUUCUGGCUAAUCUUGUAUGUUUGUUUUUCCAUAUGACCUUUAAUAUCAAUUUGUCUAAUUCUAUAAAAAACCUUGUUGGUAUUUUUAUUGGGAUUGCAUUAAAUCUAUGACUCGAUUUAGGAAGAACUGACAUCUUCAUAAUGUUGAGUUUUUCUUUCUAUCCUAGAACACUAGGCUGAUGCUCUGAUAGAAAUUAAACAAUUUUAUUGGAAGAAUAAUUUCACUUUGAGGAAUGAAGAAAUAUGUGCUCAAUACAGACUGCAGCGCAUGUUCUGCUUUGCAGGCCAAACAACGGGAUAUUUAACAGACAUAGUAAAUAAAUGCAAAUGGUUUCACAUUAAAGGGGUUGCAGGGGAAGGAAGGAAAAAUUUACAAGGGGUUGUUAAACUACAAACUUUCUUAACAUCAAUUUAGAGCCUAACACAGAUCUCUUAUUCCUGGUAUAGUUUGAUUAAGGAAAUAUUUUUAAAGUGAAACACAUAUUUUUUUUUUUUUUUUCUUUUACCCACCUUUAUUCUUGUCUAUAGAUUUACUGUAGUUAAUUUAACCAAUACAGUACUCUACCGACAGAUAUUCAGGCUGUUCCUUUCACUUUUACUAUUAUAAACAAUGAAUGAGUAAGUUUUUAUAUGUCAUUUUUCACAUAGUGAGUACAUACAGUAAGUCCUCGGGUUAAGAAUAUCUGAAUUAUGGACAGCCCAUACUUAAGAACAGACUGCCAUAAAGUCUAUUGCAUUAAAAACAAACGCAUGCACUACUCUGUGCUGCUCAUGAAAACAUUGUGUGGUUUGGAAGUGUUUGUUUUAUAUGCAUAAACCAAAAAACCAAACCCAGUGCUGUUGAGUUGAUUCUGACUCAUAGCAACCCUAUAGGACAGAGUAGAACUGCCCCAUAGAGUUUCCAAGGAGUGCCUCGUGGAUUCGAACUGCUGACCUUUUGGUUAGCAGCCAUAGCACUUAACCACUACGCCAUGAGGUUUCCUUUUCCACAGUAGGUUUUGCAUAUUUCUUGUUAAGUUUUUUCCUAAGUAGUCAAUCUUGUUUGUUACUGUUGUAAAUGAAUUUUCUGUCAUUACAUCUUCUAACUGGCUUGUAUAUAUGUAUAUAAAGACUAUUAAUUUCUGUGUGUUAACUUUAUAUCCUGUCAACUUAAUGAAAUAUUUAUUGUUUGAGUUAGUUUUAUCACUAUUCCCUUGGGUUUCAUAGGCAUACUAAGGAGCCCUGUCAGAAUCGACUUGACAACAAUGGGUUUUGGGCAGUGAAGUGGUUAAGUGCUUGGCUGCUAACUGAAAGAUGGGUGGUUUGAACCCCCCAGCCACUCUGAGGAAGAGAGAUGUGGCAGUCUGCUUCUGUCAUGGAUUGAAUUGUGUCCCCUAAAAAUAUGUGUAUCAACACCGCUUCAGUUCUGUAACAUGCGCUUAGUUACAGAGGCCAGCACUAUUCAAUGCAGGUGGGAACUGCACAAUGGUGUGAAUACCAGGAGAAAAGAAUCCUUGGAGUACCUUCAAAACUGGCAACCAAAGGUUGGGUCUUCAAGAAAUAACUAUUACGUAAAAUUCUUCGAUUCCUCCUAGAAAAAAGAUGUUGAAAAAUGCAAAAAUUACGCUUUUUAUCAUCUUUUUACGUAAAAGUAGAUAAUUAUACAGUAAAUGGUUAACAAUAUGGUAUGUCUUCUGGAAUGUUAAGAUGGUAAGAGAGACUAAAAUGAUAAAUUCCCAUGAUUUCUAUUUAAAUGUGUGUGUGUGUGUGUGUAUCAAUCUGGCUGGGCCAUGAUUCCCAGUAUUGUGGGAUUGUCCACUAUUUUGUCAUCUGAUGUAAUUUUCCCAUGCGCUGUAAAUCCUAUCACUAUGAUGUUAAUGCAAUGGAUUAGGGGCAGUUAUAUCGAUGAGAUAUACAAGAUUAGGUAGCGUUUUAAGCCAAUCUCUUUGAGAUAGAAAAGAGUGAAGCGAGCAGAGAGACACAGGUACCUCAUACCACCAAGAAAGCAGCACCAGGAGCAGAGCACAUCCUUUGGACCCAGGGUCCCUGUGCCAGAGAAACUCCUAGACCAAGGGAAGAUUGAUGGCAAGGACCUUGCCCCAGAGCCAACAGAGAGAGAAAGCCUUCUCCUGGAGAUGAUGCCCUGAGUUUGGAUUUCUAGCCUACUAGACUGUGAGAGAAUAAAUGUCUCUGUUAAAGCCAUCCACUUGUAGUAUUUUUGCUACAGCAGCACUAGCUAUCCAAGACAGCUUCUGUAAAUAUUAAAAAAAAAAAAAAAUCUGUUGCUGUUGAGUCAAUUGCGACUCAUAAUGACCCUAUAGGACAGAGCAGAACUGCUCCAUGGGGCUUCCAAGGACUGACUGGUGGAUUUGAACUGCUGACCUUUUGGUUAACAGCCGAGGUCUUAACUACUGUUUCACCAGGGCUCCAUCUGUAAAUAUUACAGCCUUGGAAAUCCUAUGAAGCAGUUGUACCCUGUCCUAUAGAGUUGCUAUGAGUCAGAAUCUAUUCUACGGCAACUGGUACUGUCAUAUCUGCAAAUAGAGUUUUACUACUUUUUUUUUUUUUUUUAACCAAUUCUUACCAUGGAAGCAGCAGUCCAGAAAUCAAAUGACGUAUUGCAUUGGGUAAAUCUGCUGCAAAAGUCCACUUUAAAGUGUUAAAAAGCAAAGACGUCACUUUGAUGACUAAGGUGCGCCUGACUCAAACCAUGGUAUGUUCAAUCUCCUUAUUUGCAUGCAAAAGCUGGAUGAUGCAUAAGGAAGACCAAAGAAGAGUUAACGCCUUUGAAUUAUGAUGUUGGCGACGAAUAUUGAAUAUAUGAUGGACUGCCGGAAGAAUGAACAAAUCUGCCUUGGAAGGAGUACAGCCAGAAUGCUCCUUAGAAGGGAGGAUGAUGACACUUCAUUUCCAGUACUUUGGACAUGUUAUCAGGAGGGACCAGUCCCUGGAGAAGGACAUCAUGCUUGGUAGAGUAGAGGGUCACCAAAAGAGAAGACUACCCUCAAUGAGAUGGAUUGACACAGUGGCUCCAAUGAUGGGCUCGAGCUUAGCAACAAUUGUGAGCAUGGCACAGGACUGGGCAGCGUUUCAUUCCGCUGUACAUAGGGGUUGCUAUGAGUCUGAGCUGACUUGAUGGAACCUAAAGAAAACAUACCUCUAAUUUAUUUCUCUUAUCUAAUUGCUUUGACUAAUAUACCUAAAUGUUGAAUAGCAGCAGAGACAGCAGGCAUCCUUGCCUUGUUUCUGAACUUAGUGAAAUGCCUCUAGUGUUUCCACUUUUAGUAAGAUACUGGUGUUAAGGCUAAGUUAAAUAUGUAAUAUACAUAUAACUUAUACACAUAAUAUAAUAUAAUCAUAUUGUUACCAAUUGCCAACCUGACACAAUGGGUCCUUGUCUUUUCCCAAGUAAGAAUACGCGCAAAAGAAAAACUUUAUCUCCAGCAAGCUUUAUUUUGCUUGGGUCAAGCAAAAGGAGUCACUGGGGAUCUAAGCCUCUCCAAAAGACUGACUCGAAAAGGGAAGCAAGGCUAGGGCUUAUAUGGGUUCAGUGGAGACAACAGGGUAAUGACUAUUUAGUGGGCUUCUUUCAAGGGGCAGGUACUUCUCAGAAUGGCGGUGUAUGUUAAUUAGGUUGCCAGGCAUCUGGAAUCUAAGAUGGAACCCGCUGAUAUUCAGGAUGGAGUCCUCUCGGCAGCCCUUGGCAUCACUUAUUAUGGGAUAUAGAGCACACACACUUGAUCUUCGGCACUACAUGGCCAUCUUCCAAGGGCUAAGGAAGGUCAAACAGCAGUCACACUCUGCUCCUCUGGGCAUACGAAGCCUGCAAAGGAGGAGGGGACUAGAAAGACACUAAGAAGGAGAUAGUAAUUCACAGGCUGCCGCAAUCCUAUCUCAUGUUGACAGGGUAGGUUCCUGUUUACCCAACUUCUAGAUGAUAAUAUUUUAAAAAGCUCUUUUGUUCAGCCCCUGCCCCCCCCACACACAGUUAACCUUAUCUGUCUCAAUAUUGUCAUGAAUUGAAUUGUGUCUCCCUCCAAAAUAUGUGUGUAUAUCCUAACCCCUGUAGUGGUUGUAAUCCCAUUUGGGAAUAAGUUUUCUUUGUUAUAUUAAUGAGACAGUAUUAGUGCAGGGUAUAUCUUAAAUCAGAAACCCUGGUGGCGUAGUGGUUAAAUGCUACGGCUGCUGGCCAAAGGGUCAGCAGUUUGAAUCUGCCAAGCGUUCCUUGGAAAAUCUAUGGGGCAGUUCUAUUCUGUCUUAUAGGGUCGCUAUGAGUCGGAAUCGACUUGACGGCACUGGGUUUGGUUUUUUAGUUUUAUAUCUUAAAUCAAUCUAUUUUGAGAAAUAAAAGAGAUUAAACAAGCAAGCAAGAGAGCAGAGAUGGGGGAAGAUAGAUGCCAUGUCACAUGAAGAUCACCAAGGAGUCAAGGAAUUGAAGCUGAAGAGACAAGGACCUUCCCCCAGAGCCAACAGAGAAGACUUCCUGUAGAGCCGGCGUCCUGAUUUCAUACUUCCAGCCUCCUGUGAGAAAAUAAAUUUCUGUUCAUUAAAGACACCCACUUGUGGCAUUUCUGUUAUAGCAGCACUAGAUAACUAAGACACAUAGUAAGGAAGUAUAUCUUGUAAAAAUGGCGUAGUGGUGGAGGGCUCUGACCUCUUCUAACUUCACCAGGCGGGGAGAAUCAUUACCAGCAUCAACAGCCCAAGGCUGAUUCCUCUGAGGCAGAGGUCAGACACACCUACUCUCUCCAACCUUUUUAACAAUUCUGACACCAAGUGUCCCCGCCUCAGCAUUCUCUACUCCUCUGCUGGGUUCAAUACUUCAUUGCAAUGGGCACACAGAACUCACAGACCAUACUCACAGUUAUGGGAUUUAUUAACGAAGUGACAAGUUACAAUUCAGGUUCAGGAACACUCAGGAUAUAGUUCUUCCAUCAGGAUAGCCCUCUUCACAGCUGUGCAGUAGCCAGGCUGGCCUCUCUCUGGCCUUCGUCCCCUAGGGCCGAGGCUGGGUCUCUGGCCUGCUCUGGCAAGUGUUACAAAGCUCUUUUAGCUCUGCUGAUAAGUAUUCAGAGGCACCCCACUCUGCCCAUAAGCCUUCUUCUUGAAGGCACUCAGCUUUUCUCCCUCACUCCAUGGUUCGGCACACCCACCGCACAGUCUCCUGGUUCUACUGCCUCUGCUGCUACCACUUCUUACCAUCUCUCACUGUCUCUCCAAUGUUACAACUCUCUCUCUCUGUCUCCUGGGUCUAGGGCACUCCCAGCACUGGGACCCCGGGUCCAAAAGACAUGCUCCACUCCCUACUCUUUCUUUUUUUAUUGUGCUUUAGUGAAAGUUUACAGAGCAAAUUAGUUUCUCGUUAAACAAUUAAUACACGAAUUGUUUUGUGACAUUGAUUGCCAACCUCGAGAUGUGUCAACACUCUCCCCUUCUCGACUUCAGGUUCCCCAUUUUCAUUUGUCCAAUUUUCCUGUCCCUUCCUGCCUUCUCAUCUUUGGUUUUGGGCUGGCGUGCCCAUUAGUCUUAUAUACAUGGUCGAACUACCUGUGUUAUUUUUUGUUUACAGGCCUGCCUAAUCUUUGGCUGAAGGGUCCCAGCUGUUUCUUGAUGGUUGUCAGGUCCCUUCUUUGCUCUCAAAUUGGCUCUCUUUUAAGCUUAGUAGGAUGGCAAAACUAGCCAAUCCCCUCCUUAGGGUUCCAUACACCUUAUUUGCAUGGCUCCACCCCCACAAGGGUGCCAUGCACCUUAUUUUCACUAUUAGAAAUGCUGCCCAAUCCCCUUGAUGGGCCACAAGAAGCUUAUUUGCAUAAUUCCACACAAUCAUUGUGUGAGAGUCACAAAGACUAUGGCUAACCCAUUGACCCAUUGUCAUAGAGUCAAUUCUGACUCAUAGUGACCCUAUAGGACAGAGUAGAGCUGCCCCAUAGAGUUUCCAAGGAGCGCCUGGUGGAACUGCCAACCUUUUGGUUAGCAGCCGUAGCUCUUAACCAAUAUGACACCAGGGUUUUUGGCUUUAGACUAUAGCUUGAAGGGCCAUAUUAAGUAGUUCACUGCAUCGCAUCUCUCAAUUCCUACUUUCUUAAGUAUUUUCAUCAAGAGAGGUUUGAAUUUUAUUUAAGGCUUUUUCAGCAUCUAUGAAGAUAUAUUUUCCCAUAAAUCUAUUAAUAUGGUUGUGAUAUCAAUAGAUUUCCUGAUAUUGAACCAAACUUGUAUUUUUGGAAUAAGUCACACUUGGUCACGGUGUAUUGUUUUCUUAAUGUGGUGCUGGAUUCUGUCUGCUAAUAUUCUAUUUAGUAUUUUUGCAUCACUAUUCAUGUAUGAUAUCAUUGUGCAGUUUUCUUUUUUAUACUGUCUUAGGUGUCAAUAUUAUGAUUGCUUCAUAAAAGAAAUAAGAAAAACUUUUGUUAUAUAUAUACAAUAAAAUUAAAAAAAGAAGAAAUGGGAAGUUUUGUUUCACUUUCGAAAUUCUGGGACAAAUUUAUAGAGCAAAGGGACUAUUUGGUCUUUGAAGAUUUAGAAGGCAUCCCCUGUAAAACCAUCGGGGCCCAGAGUUUUUUGGUGGGGUAGUUCCUUAAUUGACUUUCUCCACUUUUUUUGUUAUUAAUAUUGGUCUGUUUAAGAUUUCUAACUUUAAGGGGUAAAUUUUGCUAUUCUCUAUUUCUCCAGGAAAUCAUCCAUUUUUCCUAGGUUUUAAGAUUUAUUUUGCAAGGUCAGGAGUCUCUUAUAAUUUUCUAAAAACAUUUUUAUGAAGGUAUAGUUUGUAUAUCAUAUAAUUUAUCUAUUUAAAGUGUCCAAUUCCAUGGUUUUUAGGAAAUUCACGAAGUUGUGAAACCAUCACCGCAAUCUAAUUUCAGCACAUUUUCAUCACCCAUCAACAAUCCCCAUACCUAUAAGCAGCCGCUCCUCCUUCUCUCUCAUCUACAGCCACUGACAACCACAAAUCUACUUUCCGGCUCUAUGAAUUUACCUAUUUUGGACAUUUUGUAGGAACGGAAUCAUGCAAUAUGUGGUCUUUUGUGACUGUCCUCUUUCACGUAGAAUGUUCUCGAGAUUCAUCUAUGUUGUAGUAUCAGUACUCCAUUUCAUUUUAUGACUGAAUAGUAUUCCACUGUACAAUAUACCACAAUUUCUGUAUGUAUUCAUCAAUUGGUGAGCAUUUGAGUUGUUUCCACUGUUUGGCUGUUAUGAAUGAUGCUGCCAUGAUGUACGUCAUGUACAAGUUUUUUCAUGAACGUGUUUUCAAUUCUCUUGGGUAUAUACCUAGGAGUGGAAUUGUGGAUCAUAUGGAAACAACAUAUUUAAUUUUUUGAGGAUGGCCAGGCUGUUUUCCAAAGCAUCUGCACCAUUUUACAUCCCCACUAGCAAAGCACAAAGGUUCUUAUUUUUCCACAUCCUCUCUAACACUUGUUAUUGUCUGUCUUUUUUAUUGUAGCCAUUCUAGUGGGUGUGGAGUGGUAUCUCAUUGUGGUUUUGAUUUGUUUUUCAUUAAUGAUGAGCAAUUUUGAGCAUCUUUUUGUGUGCUUAUUGGCUGUUUGUAUAUCUUCUUUGGAGAAAUGUCUAUUCAAAUCUUUUGCCCUUUUUUAAAAAUAAGGAGUAUUUAUAUUUUUAUUACUACAUUUUUAAGGGUUCUUUAAAUAUUCUGGAUACAAGUCCCUUAUCAGAUAUAUGACUCGCAAAUAUUUUCCCCCAUUCUGUGGUUUCUUUUCACUUUCUUGAUGGUGCCCUUUGCAAUAAAAAAAAACUUUUUAAUUUUGAUGAAGUCCAAUUUAUCUAUUAUUUUCUUUUGUCACUUGUGCUUCUGGUGUUAAAUCUAAGAAAUCAUCUCCUAACCCAAGGUCAUGAAAAUUUACUCUUAUGUUUUCUUUUAAGAGUAUUAUGAUUUUAGCUUUUACAUUUAGUUCUAUGAUCCAUUUUGAGCUAAUUUUUUUGUAGGGUGUAAUGUAGAUGUACAACUUCAUUCAUUUGCAUGUAUGUAUUUACUUGUCCCAACACCAUUUUAUAAAAACACUAUUUUUUCCCCAUUGAGUGAUCUUGGCACCCUUACAGAAAAUCAAUUGACCAUAAAUAUAUGGAUUUAUUUCUGGAAUCUCAAUUCUAUUUCUGUAAAUCUAUUUGUCUAUCCUUAUUCCGGUAAAGCACAGUCUUGAUUAUUGAAGCUUCCUAGUAAGUUUUGAAAUCUGGAAGUGUGAGUCUUCCAAAUUUGCUCUUUUUUUUUUUUUUAAUAUUACUUUGGCUAUUCAGGGUUUCUUGCAUUUCCAUAUGAAUUUAAUAACUGACUUGUCAAUUGCUGCAAAAAAAGGCAGCUGGGAUUUUGAUAGGGAUGGCAUUGAAUCUGUAAAUCAGCUUAACAAUGUUCAAUCUCCUGGUCCAUGAACUUGGGAUGUCUUUACAUUUCUUUAGAUCUUAAUUCAUUUCAACAAUGUUUUGUUGUUUUCAGUGUACAAGUUUUGCACUUCUUUUGUUAAAUUCAUUUUUAAUUAUUUUAUUUUUGAUACUAGCGUAAAUGGAAUUGUUUUCUUAAUUUCAUUUUUAUAUUGUUCAUUGUGAGUGUAUAGAUCCAACUGAUUUUUUUUAUUGCCCUUUUAUCCUGAAACCUUGCUGAGCUCAUAUAUCAGUUCUAAUAGUUUUUUAGUGAGUUCUUCAGGAUUUUCUAUAUAGAAGAUCACGUCAUUUACAAAUAAAAAUAGUUUUACUUCUUCCUUUCCAAUCUGAAUGCCUUUUUUCUUUUUCUUGUCUAAUCACUCUGGUAGAACCUCUAAUACAAUGUUGAAUAGAAGUGGUGAGAGUCGACAUCCUUGUCUUGUUCCUGAUCUUAGGGCAGGGAGAGGGUUCAGAUUUUCACCAUUAAGCAUGAUGUUAGCUGUGGGUAUUUUAUAGUUGUCCUUUACUUGGUUGAGGAAGUUCCCUUCUAUUCCUAGUUUGUGCAGUGUUUCUCUCAUGAGAGUGUUGAAUCUUGUCAAAUGCUUUUUUUCUGUCUAUUAAGAUGAUCAUGUGUUUUUUUCCCCUCUAUUUUAUUAAUUUAUUGUUGUUAGGUGCCAUCGAGUCGGUUCUGACUCAUAGCAGUCCUAUGUACCACAGAACAAAACACUGCCCCAUUCUGCACCAUGCUCACGAUUGCUGUUACGCUUGAGCCCAUUGUUGCAGCCACUGUGUCAAUCCAUAUUCUUGAGGGUCUUCCUCUUUUUUGCUGACCCUGUACUUUACCAAGCAUGACCUCCUUCUCCAGGGACUGAUCCCUCCUGACAACAUGUCCAAAGUAUGUAAGACGCAGUCUCGCCAUCCUUGCUUCAAAGGAGCAUUCUGGUUGUACUUCUUCCAAGGGAGAUUUGUUCGUUCUUUUGACAGUCCAUGGUAUAUUCAGUAUUCUUCGCCAACACCACAAUACAAAGGCAUCAAUUCUUCAUUGGCCUUCCUUAUUCAUUGUCCAACUUUCACAUGCAUAUGAACGAUAGAAAAUACCAUGGCUUGGGUCAGGCACACCUUGGUCUUCAAGGUGACAUCUUUGCAUUUCAACACUUUAAAGAGGUCUUUUGCAGCAGAUUUGCCUAAUGCAAUGCAUCUUUUUGAUUUCUUGACUGCUGCUUUUAUGGGUGUUGAUUGUGAAUCCAAGUAAAAUGAAAUCCUUGACAAUCUUUUCUCUGUUUAUCAUGAUGUUGCUUAUUGGUCCAGUUGUGAGGAUUUUUGUUUUCUUUAUGUUGAGGUGUAAUCCAUACUGAAGGCUGUGGUCUUUGGUCUUCAUCAGUAAGUGCUUCAAGUCCUCUUGACUUUCAGCAAGCAAGGCUGUGUUGUAUUAAAUUGAAUGUGUUUUGUAUGUUAAACCAACUUUGCGUUUCUAGGGUAAUCCCUCUUAGUGUAUGAUCUUCUUUUACAUGCUGCUGAACUCAGUUACGAGUAUUUUGUUGGGGAUUUUUGCAUCUAUAUUCAUAAGGGAUGUUGGUUUUCAAUUUUCUCUUCGUGAGAUGUCUGUGAUUUUGGUAACAGGGUAAUACUGACCUCAUAGAAUGAGCUGGGAAUUGUUCCCUCCUCUCUAUUUUUGGAAGAGUUGUGAAGGUUUAGUAUUUUUCUGUAAAUGUCUGGUAGAAUUCACCACUGAAGCCAUGUGCACCUAGGUUUUUCUUUGUGGGAAUUAAAAAAAAAAAUUUUUUUUUAGUAUAGUUUUAGAUUUCCAGAACAAUAGAGAUGAUAGAGAGUUCCAUAUACUCACCCACCCCAACUCUGGCUGACAAUCUCUCUUAUUUUGUCGUUCAUUCAAGAGUUGUUCACUAGCAGGUGGUUUAAAUUUCCAGGGAGAAGUGCCUUUUUGUUUUUGUUAAUUUCUCAUUUUAUUACAUUGUGCUCAGUGAAUACUGUUUGUAAUAUUUCUACUUUACUGAACUUAUUAAUGAUUUCUUUGUGACCUAAUAUAUGAUCAAUUUGUGUGAAUACCGUGUCUUUGAAUUCAGGGUUGUUUUCUCAGGUGGGGGUGGGGAUUUUCCUCAGUUGAUGUGUGUUGGAUUUUGUUUUCUGAUUUUUCGUAAUAGCUCCAUACGGAUCUGUUAAAUCUUUUUCCUGUUCAUUUUUGUGGUAUUGGGGAGUGUUUCAAGAUUCCUUGUUGAACAGCACACUCUUAUGUCAGUAUAGCAAAGUCCAGAUUCUUCAGUGGAUUGUGUUUGUUUUGGUGGGGGGGGGGAGGGGUUGUGUUCUCCGAUUUUUUUUUUUUUUUGGCUCGCUUUUGUCUUGCAGGACCCUAAAAUUUGCCCCUUUUGCUUCUUUUCCACUUCUCAACUCAAUUACCAAAGGGCAUUUCUCGCUCUUUUUCGUCUUUUUUUUCUCUCCCGCCCCAUCUCCCCCCCCUCAACGGUCCCCAAGCUAUGCAUUUCAAAGACUGUCCCUCCAAAUCGCGCAUGCUUUUAAUUCCCUUCCCAGUAGUCUGAGCUCUGAUCUGCCAGGGCGUUUUCUUAGUGUUUUCAGACUUCGGAAGGACUUGGUCGUUCCGCUGGUGGCACUAGACAGCCUUAGACCCAGUUGCCAGCUCCCCUCUUCCCUCCUCCUCUGGGGUUAGGUGGGGCAGGAGAGCUCAGCGCUGGGCUUUGGUGUGUUCUCUAUUUAGUUACAGUUAUUUUGAAGUUCGGCCACUCUGUUUUCACGUCACGCUGAGGGCGUGGCUUUGGCAUAGUUUUAUUUUUCCCUUGUUGUUCCUCUUUGUUUUGGGGGAAAGCUUGGGAGAUGAGGACUCAGGCAGCUGUUAUUUUCCUCAGCUACUCGAAGUCCCUUUGGUCUUUUGUAAUUCAGCUGGAGCUUGGGGGUCCCUGGAUGGUGUGAAUGGUUAACUCGCUGGGCUGCUCACCUAAAGGUUGGUAGUUCGAGUCCACUCAGAGGUCGCCCGUUAUUAAGUCGGAAUGGACUCAAUGGUAACUACUCUUUUGAAGAUGGAGCUUAGCUCAUUAACUUCCAGCCUUUCUUACUUUCUAAUAUCUGCAUUUGAAAUCAUAAAUUCCUCUAAGAAUUGUUAGCUGUGUCCCCCGACUUUGACAUAGAGUAAUUUUCAAUUUACCACCUGUCAGUUUGUUGUGCGGUGGUGGCCUGUGUGUUGCUGUGAUGCCAGAAGCUAUGCCACGUAUUUCAAAUACCAGCAGGGUUACCCAUGGUGGACAGGUUUCAGCAGAGCUUCCAGACUAAGAAGGGCUUGGUGAUCUACUUCUGGAAGUUAGCCAGUGAAAACCUUACGGAUCACAACAGAACAUUGCCUCAUUCACUUACUUUGAACAUGUCUGUAAUGGAUUGAAUUGUGUCCCCCCAAAAUAUGUGUCAACUUGGUUAGGCCAUGUGUGGUUGUCCUCCAUUUUAUGAUUUUCCUAUGUGUUGUUGAGUCAUGAUCUCUGCCUUUGCUUAAAGAGGAUUAGGGUGGGAUGUAACAACAUUGCUCAGGUCACAUCCCUGAUCCAAUGUAAAGGGAGUUUCCCUGGGGAGCAAGCAGAGAGCUGUGGACCUCAUACCACGAAGAAAGAAGCACCGGUAGCUGAGCACGUCCUUUGGACUCAGGGUUCCUGUGCGGAGAAGCCCCUAGUCCAGGGGAAGAUGGAUGAGAAAGACCUUCCUCCAGAGCCGACAGAGAAAGCCUUCCCCUGAAGCCAAUACCCUGAAUUUGGACUUCUUGCCUACUAGACUUUGAGAAAAAAAAAAAACUUCCCUUUGUUAAAGCCAUCCACUUGUAUUUCUGUUAUAGCAGCACUAGAUGACUAAGACAGAGUUUGGUACCCAGAGAGUGGGGUGCUGCUCUAACAGAUACCUAAAAUGUAGAAGUGCUUUUGAAACUGUGAAUGGUUAGAAGUCUGGGAGCUCAGCUGAACCCUGUCUGCCACGGGUGACCCUGCUGGUAUCUGAAUACCUGUGGCAUAGCUUCCAGUGUCAUAGCAACACGCAAGCCCCCACGGUACAACAAACUGACAGACACGUGGGGGUAUGGUUUUAGGUGUAACUCUAAAAACAGCAUCUGGUGGCGUAUUAAUUAGCAUAGUAUAGAUUAUGCUGUGAUUAUUGUGGGAUGUAAAUAUACUGUUAUAUGACGAAAGGGAGUUAAAGUGACAGGUAGGAUUAAGGUUACUAAUCAGCUGACCUUAAAAUAGGGCGAUUAUCCUGGAUUAUUCAGGUGGGCCCAUUGUAGUCACAAGGGUCCUUAAAUAUGGAUGAGGGAAGCAGAAGAGUCCAUGUCAGAGUGACACAGUGUGAGAAAGACUUGAUCAGCCAUUUUGGCUUUGAAGGUGGAAGGGGAUCAUGAGCCAAGGCACGCAGGCAGCCUCAGGAAGGUGGAAAAGGGAAGAAAACAGAUGCUCCCUGGAGCCUCCAGAAAGGAACAGCCCUGCCAACACCUUGAUUUUAGCGCAGUGAUAACCAUUUUGGAGUUCUGACCUCCAGCAUGUGUUUAUGCUGUAACAUAGUAAAUUCGUGUUGUCUUAAGUCGUUAAGUUAGCAGCGAUUUGUUACAGCCCCAAGUAGGAAUCCAAUAAGAAACAACCCAAAAAUCUCAGUGGCUCUCAAAAACAAAAGUUUAUUUCCUGUUCAUAUUACCUGCCCUUUACGGUUCAGCUUUGACUCCAUUUCUUAUUCCAGAACCCAGGCCAGACGCUGCCCCCACCUGGGACACACCAGGCUCAGGGCAGGUGCAAAAGAGCAAUGGCUUUUAACUCAUAUGCUCUAAUGUGGCAUACACCAUUUCUGCUCAAAUUCCAUUGGUAAAGCCAAGUCACAUGGCUAAGCAUAACAUGGGGCUGGAAGUAGACUCCUCCUCAAAGGAAGGACACCAGGAGAGGUCCUGUAGGGAGGGCCUAGCAUGUAUGAAACCCUGGGGCAAGAAGGAAUGGGAUUAACAGAAUUGAGAGAACUGGUGGGACCUGGAGGGCGGUGGUGGAGGGGCAGGGCCAGGGAUGUGGCUGGAGAAGUGAGCCAGGACCUAUUGUGCCAGGCAUGCAAGCUAUUUAUUCACUCAACAAAUAUGAGCGAUACAACUACGUACCAGGCCCUGAACCAUGGCUGGAGGUUCGAGGAUGAGUAAGGCUGACAAAAUCCCUGUUCUGGAGGCACUGACCUUCUAGAGGGAAAAAAGGACAAGAAGUAAACAAGGAAGCACGAUGCCAGACCAUGAUAAGUAAGCACCACGGUUAAGGAGCUUGUAUUUUUUGUAUUUUAUUAAAAGGAGUCCCUGGUUGGUGCAAAUAGUUAACACAUUUGCCUGCUAACCAAAAGGUUGCAAGUUUGAGUCCACCCAGAGGUGCUUUGGAAGAAAGGCCUGGAGAUGUAGUUCCAAAAAUCAACUUGACGACAACCGGAAAAAAAUUUUAUUCAAAGAACUAUUUUAAAAAGGUCAUUCAGUGUUUGGGGGGAAGAACCAUUAGAGGUGGCAGAGAGCAGAAGGAUGUGGGGAGACUGUCUAGGGAUCAUUGCUGUCACCCAGGCUGUAGAUGGUGCAGCGUGGACUGGGGAGAAGCUGUGGGGAGGAGAGGAGGGCAUGGAUUAGGGAGACACUUUGGAGCUAGAAGCCACGAUACUUCGUGAUAAGUUGGAUGUUGGGGAUGAGAAGAAGGUAGCAAUACUCCCAAAUAUUUACUCAAGGGAACACAGCCCAGCAGGGAGAACAAAGAGCAAGCAAUAGCAUGACUGAAUCUCACCCAAAAGUGGACCUACUGUGGGAUUCUAUUUACAUAACGUUUGAAAACAGGCAAAUGGAACCUGUGAUGACAGGCUAGAGCCAGAAUAUUGUGUUAACUUUGGGGGGAGGGGCAGGAUGAGGCCACUGAGACAGGAAGGACGGGUAAUGUUGUUUCUUGAAUUGGGUGCUGGUUACACAGGUGCGUUCUGACAAUUCAUCAAGCUGCUCAUUUCUGAUCUGCACACUUUUCUGAAUGGCUGCUAUGCCGAAAUAAAGUUUACGUAAAAAAACCACUCGCAGGAGACACUGAGGGUCCGUUAAGGGGAUGGAAACAUUUGGAAAUGGGCGGUGGUGGUUGACCAACACGAAGAACACAGUUGGUGUCCCUGAACUGUACAUGUGACCAAUGUUGAAAUGGCAAAUGUUCUGUUACAUACAUACUAGCCAUUAG